CGUGUAGGCGGUCUUUUAAGUCAGACGUGAAAUCCAUGGGCUUAACCCAUGACCUGCGUUUGAUACUGGAGGACUUGAGGACCGGAGAGGGCAGUGGAAUUCCCAGUGUAGCGGUGAAAUGCGUAGAUAUUGGGAGGAACACCAGUGGCGAAGGCGACUGCCUGGACGGCCCCUGACGCUGAGGCGCGAAAGCUAGGGGAGCAAACGGGAUUAGAUACCCCGGUAGUCCUAGCCGUAAACGAUGGGUACUAGGUGUGGGAGGUAUCGACCCCUUCCGUGCCGCAGUUAACACAAUAAGUACCCGCCUGGGAGUACGGCCGCAAGGUUGAA
Molecule: ribosomal RNA, 330 nt
Filed under: uncultured bacterium
Lineage: Bacteria
Description: bacterial SSU rRNA
Rfam family: Bacterial small subunit ribosomal RNA
Source: RNAcentral